GGGCACGUGGCGGAAUUGGCAGACGCGUUGGACUUAGGAUCCAAUGGGGCAACCCGUGGGGGUUCAAGUCCCUCCGUGCCCA
Molecule: transfer RNA, 82 nt
Filed under: Ignavibacteria bacterium
Lineage: Bacteria; Pseudomonadati; Ignavibacteriota; Ignavibacteria
Description: tRNA-Leu
Rfam family: tRNA
About the family: Transfer RNA (tRNA) molecules are approximately 80 nucleotides in length. Their secondary structure includes four short double-helical elements and three loops (D, anti-codon, and T loops).
Source: RNAcentral